This 1170-nucleotide long non-coding RNA is filed under the name Citrus x clementina. RNAcentral describes it as "Citrus clementina (C. clementina) long non-coding RNA (CCLE_LNC002097)". Lineage: Eukaryota; Viridiplantae; Streptophyta; Magnoliopsida; Sapindales; Rutaceae. The record is from RNAcentral.
UUAGCUUUGCCCACCUCUCUGCAUUUUCUUCAAUAAAAAAAAAAUCACAAAUUAAUAUUUUUAAGCCAAGCGAGAUCUUUCUUGGUAAUUCCCACCAAUCUAAUGAUGUCUAAAUUCUAGUUCAUUUAGGUAAAGAAGAAACCAGCUCUCCGCUAAUCAUAUUAACACUUGAAAAUGUUGAGAAUUCCUAGUGGCCUUAAAAUUCUUUGAACAAUUCAAUAUUUGAUUAUUGGUCCAAGAGUCGGCAUGGGAAUACUCUCUCAUGACAAACCCUUGAUUAGUUUUAACAUCGGCGAUGUUGCAAACAAUCAUGUGUUCCUCUCAAAACUGCCAGUCAAGCCCCAGUAAUAAAUUAAUUCGAGAGCUAUCUCCAGCUCCAUCUGUAUGAUACUUUAAAAGCAUUGUUCCAGUCUUCGAAGACAAUGGUGCUGAAAUAAUUUAUGCUUAAAACCCCGUGAUUUUAACUUUCCUUUCGAAUAAAAAGCCUGAGAGAAGUAAGAUUUCUCACCUUAAUUAGCCAUGAUCGGGCUGUUGUUCAACUCCUGUUAUAGCUUCUGGUUUCUUCUAAUCUGCUGCAGCUUCAAGCCUUCAGCACCUGCAGACCCACAAGCCAGCAAGAUCGAGAAAGAGAGAGAGAGAGGAGAUAAAUUUGAGGAUGCAGCUGAAUCUAGCGCCGGUGAGGGCCAAUUUAGAAUGUUACGGUCGUAUUUAGUUAAAGUUGAUAUUAGCGCAUAUUCAACAUAUAAUUAAUAGGUGAUCCAAAAUCGUACCUUUUAAUCCUAAAAGCAGAAGCGAAUCAUAUUCAACUAGUAAUUCAUUUUAUAGAUUUUUACUUAAUAUUUUAGCUUUGCUUAUUUAUUUAUUUUGAAGAGUUCCAUAGUUUGGUUUUGAUACAGCUGCUUGUUAUAUAAUCCAGCUUUACUAGACUGUCUCGGUUAUAAAUUUAUUUUUCCUAGCGAAAUAGGUGUAAAAAUACCUUUUAUAGAGCUUUGGCUACCGACUUCAAAAAAAGUCUAGAUAGGGGACAAAUGCCUUAUGCAGGCAGUUAGGUAAGAGUGGAGUUUUUACUUUUUAACACUCCUCUAAAAUCUCUGUAACACCCUUUCUAAGUUUAUUUUUAAAAUAUUCUUAGUUAAAUUGAUAAAUUAUGAAUUGAUGUAUUAAAACUAG